AACGAACGCUGGCGGCAUGCCUAACACAUGCAAGUCGAACGAUUGCCUUCGGGUGAUAGUGGCGCACGGGUGCGUAACGCGUGGGAAUCUGCCCUUAGGUUCGGAAUAACAGCUGGAAACGGCUGCUAAUACCGGAUGAUAUCGCGAGAUCAAAGAUUUAUCGCCUGAGGAUGAGCCCGCGUUGGAUUAGGUAGUUGGUGGGGUAAAGGCCUACCAAGCCGACGAUCCAUAGCUGGUCUGAGAGGAUGAUCAGCCACACUGGGAAUGAGACACGGCCCAGACUCCUACGGGAGGCAGCAGUGGGGAAUAUUGGACAAUGGGCGCAAGCCUGAUCCAGCAAUGCCGCGUGAGUGAUGAAGGCCCUAGGGUUGUAAAGCUCUUUUACCCGGGAAGAUAAUGACUGUACCGGGAGAAUAAGCCCCGGCUAACUCCGUG
This 435-nucleotide ribosomal RNA is filed under the name uncultured bacterium. Its description in RNAcentral is "partial 16S ribosomal RNA". It matches the Rfam family "Bacterial small subunit ribosomal RNA", at positions 29 to 507 of the family's 1533-position model. The record is from RNAcentral.